ACGACCACAUGACAUUGAAACACUGGAUCCUUUACGAUCACCGAAGUUAAGCAACGUCAAGCUUGGUAGGUACCUAAAUGGGUGACCUCUUGGCAAUAACAUGUG
Non-coding RNA from Acanthosepion pharaonis, 105 nucleotides. Lineage: Eukaryota; Metazoa; Mollusca; Cephalopoda; Sepiida; Sepiidae. The record is from the annotation of a GenBank genome assembly.